GGUAGUAAAGACACCAGAUUCACACGAGGAUGAAGUUGGAACCGUCUAACAUUAUGGAGGAUGAAGAUGCAGCACUGGUGGCGCUGCGGGGAGGAGGCUCAACCAGGGCGAGUUAGUACGAAGAGGCAUUCCUGUGUUCACGCUUUUGCGCAGCUACUUUGUGAGAUUUGUCAGACGCUGCGAAGAGGAACGUUGGCGCUCAACACCCCCAGAAGAAUGCUACCUAUUCUUAUCUAUUCAUAACUGAGAAGCAACAUGGAGGCGCCUGGUCAAGGUUGAGGAAACGCAGCCACCCCCCCCCUGCACUCACGCACCAGGACAAAACAAAAGAUUCAGGAGAGGUCAAUAUUGAGCCUCCGUCCGGUGACACGAGGAGCUUCCUGAUCAACCGUCGCCUGAAC
Molecule: long non-coding RNA, 401 nt
Organism: Gasterosteus aculeatus aculeatus (three-spined stickleback)
Lineage: Eukaryota; Metazoa; Chordata; Actinopteri; Perciformes; Gasterosteidae
Source: Ensembl